UGGUGGGUAGUUUGACUGGGGCGGUCUCCUCCCAAAGAGUAACGGAGGAGCACGAAGGUUAGCUAAUCACGGUCGGACAUCGUGAGGUUAGUGCAAAGGCAUAAGCUAGCUUGACUGCGAGAGUGACGGCUCGAGCAGGUACGAAAGUAGGUCUUAGUGAUCCGGUGGUUCUGAAUGGAAGGGCCAUCGCUCAACGGAUAAAAGGUACUCCGGGGAUAACAGGCUGAUACCGCCCAAGAGUUCAUAUCGACGGCGGUGUUUGGCACCUCGAUGUCGGCUCAUCACAUCCUGGGGCUGAAGUAGGUCCCAAGGGUAUGGCUGUUCGCCAUUUAAAGUGGUACGCGAGCUGGGUUUAGAACGUCGUGAGACAGUUCGGUCCCUAUCUGCCGUGGGCGUUGGAAGAUUGAGAGGGGUUGCUCCUAGUACGAGAGGACCGGAGUGAACGCACCACUGGUGUUCGGGUUGUCAUGCCAAUGGCAUUGCCCGGUAGCUAAGUGCGGAAAAGAUAAGCGCUGAAAGCAUCUAAGCGCGAAACUUGCCUCAAGAUGAGUCUUCCCUGGGCCUUUAAGGUCCCUGAAGGAACGUUUAAGACUAAGACGUUGAUAGGCUGGGUGUGUAAGUGCAGCGAUGCAUUGAGCUAACCAGUACUAAUGAUCCGUGAGGCUUAACCUU
Molecule: ribosomal RNA, 672 nt
Filed under: Serratia marcescens
Lineage: Bacteria; Pseudomonadati; Pseudomonadota; Gammaproteobacteria; Enterobacterales; Yersiniaceae
Description: partial 23S ribosomal RNA
Rfam family: Bacterial large subunit ribosomal RNA
Source: RNAcentral